Molecule: ribosomal RNA, 459 nt
Filed under: uncultured bacterium
Lineage: Bacteria
Description: partial 16S ribosomal RNA
Rfam family: Bacterial small subunit ribosomal RNA
Source: RNAcentral
CUACGGGCGGCAGCAGUAAGGAAUAUUGGUCAAUGGACGAAAGUCUGAACCAGCCAUGCCGCGUGAAGGAUUAAGGUCCUAUGGAUUGUAAACUUCUUUUAUAUGGGACGAAAAAAGGUCUUUCUAGAUCACUUGACGGUACCAUAUGAAUAAGCACCGGCUAACUCCGUGCCAGCAGCCGCGGUAAUACGGAGGGUGCAAGCGUUAUCCGGAUUCACUGGGUUUAAAGGGUGCGUAGGCGGGCAGGUAAGUCAGUGGUGAAAUCCUGGAGCUCAACUCCAGAACUGCCAUUGAUACUAUCUGUCUUGAAUAUUGUGGAGGUAAGCGGAAUAUGUCAUGUAGCGGUGAAAUGCUUAGAUAUGACAUAGAACACCCAUUGCGAAGGCAGCUUACUACGCAUAUAUUGACGCUGAGGCACGAAAGCGUGGGGAUCAAACAGGAUUAGAUACCCUCGUAGUC